This 390-nucleotide transfer-messenger RNA is filed under the name Candidatus Criblamydiaceae. RNAcentral's name for it is "JACKPN01 sp024233575 Standard tmRNA". It matches the Rfam family "transfer-messenger RNA". From Rfam's summary of the family: Bacterial tmRNA, also known as 10Sa RNA or SsrA, is named for its dual tRNA and mRNA-like properties. Its role is to liberate the mRNA from a stalled ribosome. Lineage: Bacteria; Pseudomonadati; Chlamydiota; Chlamydiia; Parachlamydiales. The record is from RNAcentral. RNAcentral also lists the same sequence under 2 other names.
GGGGGUGUUCUGGUUUCGACUAGGGAAUGAAGUACUGGUCGCAUGCGGAGGGUGUCGGUUGGCCUCCUAAAAAAACCGAUAAAACCAUAAAUGCUGAAACUAACAGCAAAGUACUGGCUUUCGAGCCAGUCGUAGUAGCCGCUUAAUCUUAACAGAUUGAGUAGCCCGAUAGUCUGAGGUUGGACCAGGGACCGAGGAACUAUCGUCAUUAAUCUUGGUAUGGCUAUGAUGUCCGUUGUUUCUAGGGCAUUUUAGUCGAGAUUAAAUGAAGCGUGGCGUUGCUUGCGGGGUACCUUGCGUUGGCAUAGUCACUAGAACAAGGUACUAAGCAUGUAGAAGUUAGUAGGGAGUUUGCUUAGGACGAGAGUUCGAUUCUCUCCACCUCCAAUU